UUUCUCUGGUUUCUUUUCAGUCACAUAUAAAUCUUUCAUAUUUUACUAAAGAUUUUUGGGGAGAGGAAUAUCAAUGAGCUUGGUGUAUUUUCACGAGCUUUGAUUUGGCAAAGCU
Small nuclear RNA from Hemibagrus wyckioides, 115 nucleotides. RefSeq annotates it as U5 spliceosomal RNA. Lineage: Eukaryota; Metazoa; Chordata; Actinopteri; Siluriformes; Bagridae. The transcript has a single exon. The record is from RefSeq and is a predicted model, not a curated record.